RNAcentral lists this ribosomal RNA (1077 nucleotides) under uncultured crenarchaeote. RNAcentral's name for it is "bacterial SSU rRNA". It matches the Rfam family "Archaeal small subunit ribosomal RNA", at positions 268 to 1362 of the family's 1478-position model. Lineage: Archaea; Thermoproteati; Thermoproteota. The record is from RNAcentral.
CGCGGGAUUGCCCGCCGCGCGCGGCGGUUGGCCCGGGGGCACGGGGGGACGGGCUGCAGCAGGCGCGAAAACUCCGCAAUACGCGAAAGCGUGACGGGGCUAUCCCGAGUGCCGUCCGCUGAGGACGGCUUUUCCCCAGUGUAUAAAGCUGGGGGAAUAAGGAGAGGGCAAGACUGGUGUCAGCCGCCGCGGUAAUACCAGCUCUCCGAGUGGUGGGGAUGCUUAUUGGGCCUAAAGCAUUCGUAGCCGGCUGGGCAAGUCCUCCGUUAAAUCCAGCGAUUCAAUCGUUGGACUGCAGGGGAUACUGUCCGGCUAGGGGGCGGAAGAGGCCGACGGUAUUCUCGGGGUAGGGGUGAAAUCCUAUAAUCCCGGGAGGACCACCAGUGGCGAAGGCUGUCGGCUAGAACGCGCCCGACGGUGAGGGAUGAAAGCUGGGGGAGCGAACCGGAUUAGAUACCCGGGUAGUCCCAGCUGUAAACUAUGCAGGCUAGGUGUUGGCGCGGCUACGUGCCGCUCCAGUGCCGCAAGGAAGCCGUUAAGCCUGCCGCCUGGGAAGUACGGCCGCAAGGCUGAAACUUAAAGGAAUUGGCGGGGGAGCACCACAAGGGGUGAAGCUUGCGGUUUAAUUGGAGUCAACGCCGGAAAUCUCACCGGGGGCGACAGCAGGGUGAAGGCCAGAUUGAAGGUCUUGCUAGACAAGCUGAGAGGAGGUGCAUGGCCGUCGCCAGUUCGUGCCGUGAGGUGUCCUGUUAAGUCAGGCAACGAUCGAGACCCGCGUCCCCUGUUGCCACCGGCCUUUGAGCCGAGCACACUGGGGAGACUGCCGCCGAUAAGACGGAGGAAGGAGCGGGCCACGGCAGGUCAGUAUGCCCCGAAUCCCCCGGGCCACACGCGAGCUGCAAUGGCAGGUACAGAGGGUUCCGACCCCGAAAGGGGAAAGCAAUCCCGAAAGCCUGCCGUAGUUGGGAUCGAGGGUUGAAACUCACCCUCGUGAACAUGGAAUCCCUAGUAAUCGCGUGUCACUAUCGCGCGGUGAAUACGUCCCUGCUCCUUGCACUAAUUCGCCGAAUCACUAGU